Molecule: ribosomal RNA, 1791 nt
Filed under: Triticum aestivum (bread wheat)
Lineage: Eukaryota; Viridiplantae; Streptophyta; Magnoliopsida; Poales; Poaceae
Description: partial small subunit ribosomal RNA
Source: RNAcentral
AUGAUUAAAUCCAAUGCUUAUACUAUACCUCAUACUUCCAUUCUACAUUUUUGUAGCAAUGUAGAUGUCGAACGUAGUUGGAUGUACAAAGAGAGACGAGGGAAGUUGAUCAGUGAUGCUUGGCAACAUGGAGUAGAUAAUUUUCUAGAUCAUGCAUUCUCAUUGCCCGAUGCUGCUGCAGACGGGAAAUCCCGUUGUCCUUGCAGCAAGUGCUUUUGCGGUCAUAAGUGCACAAGGGAUGUCAUGGCCACACACUUGUGCAGCAAUGGGUUCAUGUUAGGAUAUGAGAGAUGGACUAGCCACGGGGAGUCUGAUGCACCUGAAAAUGUAGAGCAUGAUAACGUGGGGGAUGGAGAUAGAAUGAAUGACAUGCUAGUUGAUGCAAUUGUUGCUGAAGGAGUUUCUAAAGGCGAUGAGCCAACAAAAGCUGCUAAAAAAUUCUAUGAAAUGUUGAUGGAAGCCGACAAACCUUUGCAUGAGAAGACCACACAAUCACGUCUAUCCAUUGUAGGAAGGCUAAUGACUAUUAAAACACAACAUAAUCUGUCAGAAGCUUGUUACAAUGAGAUGAUGACUCUUAUACAUGACAUUGUUGGGGAUGAUGCUGCAAAAGAUCUCCCAGCAAACUUCCAUAGGUCCAAGAAGCUUGUGCAUAGUCUAGCAAUGCCUUACGUCAAAAUUCAUGCAUGCCCCAAUAAUUGUAUGAUUUAUUAUAAGGAGAAUGAAAAUAAAGAAAAAUGCACUAUCUGCAAAGAGCCUAGAUAUGAGGAAACAACCGCAGGAAAUAAAUCUACGAAAAUACUAAGAAAAGUUCUGCGCUAUCUCCCAAUUACUCCUAGGCUACAACGGUUGUACAUGUCACAAAGCACUGCCAAGCACAUGGACUAUCACGCAAGGCCUCAUAACAGUGAUGAAGUAAUGGUUCACCCUUCUCAUGGUGAAGCUUGGAAGGAAUUUAAUAAGGAAUUUAAAAAAUUUGCCGAGGAAGUAAGGAAUAUAAGGCUAUGUCUAGCAACUGACGGAUUCACACCUUUUGGUAUUACAGCAGCCUCCUACUCAUGUUGGCCAGUAUUUGUUGUGCCUUAUAAUCUUCCACCAGAAAUGUGCAUGAAGCAGAGUAACCUGAUCCUUGCACUAGUUAUUCCCGGUCCAGAUCAUCCAGGAAAGAACCUAAACGUUUUUAUGCAGCCUCUAGUUGACGAACUUGAUGAUUUGUGGAGAAAUGGUGUAGAAACUUAUGAUAGUUAUCGAAAGCAAAAUUUCACCUUAAAGGCAGCUUUGCUUUGGACUAUUCAUGACUUUCCAGCUUAUGGAUUAGUAGCAUGCUGGAGCACUCAUGGAAAGCUUGCUUGCCCUAUAUGUGGAUCUGACAUAAAGACAUUCUCAUUGAAGAAUGGGAGAAAACCAUGCUGGUUUGACUGCCAUAGGAGAUUCCUUCCCACUGACCAUGCAUUUCGUAGGAGUGUGAAAUGUUUUCGCAAGAAAAAAACAGUUUUAGAUCCUCCACCAAAGCCCUUGUCCGGAGAACAGGUGUAUGAAGAACUCCAAAGUCUUGUCCAUGAUGAAACUGGCAAGAGUAAAUUUGAGGGGUUUGGGAAGGAGCACAAUUGGAUAGCUAUAAGUGGUUUGUGGCAGCUAGAGUAUUUUCGGAAGUUGCUGCUUCGCCAUAACAUUGAUGUAAUGCACAAUGAGAAAAAUGUAUCUGAGGCUUUACUAAACACAUGCCUUGAUAUUCCUGAGAAAACUAAGGAUAGCAACAAAGCACGCCUUGAUGUUGCUUUAGUAUUGUGA